GCGGCCGUGGCGGAACUGGCCUACGCGCAACACUUAGGAUGUUGUGGGAGAAAUCCCUUGAGGGUUCGAGUCCCUCCGGCCGCAC
Molecule: transfer RNA, 85 nt
Filed under: Streptomyces flaveus
Lineage: Bacteria; Bacillati; Actinomycetota; Actinomycetes; Kitasatosporales; Streptomycetaceae
Also listed under: 2 other names
Description: tRNA-Leu
Rfam family: tRNA
About the family: Transfer RNA (tRNA) molecules are approximately 80 nucleotides in length. Their secondary structure includes four short double-helical elements and three loops (D, anti-codon, and T loops).
Source: RNAcentral